UAAAAAGCAGUGUUGACUACACUUCUAAAACGACUGAUAUCCCAACAAAAAUCUCUUCGAGAAAAGUGUGACGCAUUCUCAGAAAUACAAUUUCUAAAAUGAAUGAUAUCGCUAGAGUUGACGCUUUCAGCUUCGUUACGCAAAAGUUAAAUUGUACACCCAAUUAGUUCAAACAAGCUGGCUUAGGUUUCCUCAUUAUCUGCCAAAUAACUUUUACCAAAAAAAAUUGACUGAAAACAACAAAAAAUUUACAAAGAAAUCUGCGUCGCAUGUGGCAGAUAAAUUUUCUUCUGUUCCUCAACAACUGCCA
Molecule: long non-coding RNA, 310 nt
Organism: Bradysia coprophila
Lineage: Eukaryota; Metazoa; Arthropoda; Insecta; Diptera; Sciaridae
Source: RefSeq, a predicted model, not a curated record